UACGGAGGGUGCAAGCGUUAUCCGGAUUUACUGGGUUUAAAGGGUGUGUAGGCGGACUUUUAAGUCAGUGGUGAAAUCCCGGGGCUCAACCCCGGAACUGCCAUUGAUACUAUUGGUCUUGAAUACUGUGGAGGUGAGCGGAAUGUGUCAUGUAGCGGUGAAAUGCUUAGAGAUGACACAGAACACCGAUUGCGAAGGCAGCUCACUACGCAGUGAUUGACGCUGAGGCACGAAAGCGUGGGGAUCAAACAGG
This 253-nucleotide ribosomal RNA is filed under the name uncultured bacterium. RNAcentral describes it as "partial 16S ribosomal RNA". It matches the Rfam family "Bacterial small subunit ribosomal RNA", at positions 524 to 776 of the family's 1533-position model. The record is from RNAcentral.